GUGGGGAAUUUUGGACAAUGGGCGCAAGCCUGAUCCAGCAAUGCCGCGUGCAGGAAGAAGGCCUUCGGGUUGUAAACUGCUUUUGUACGGAACGAAACGGUCCUGGCUAAUAUCCGGGGCUAAUGACGGUACCGUAAGAAUAAGCACCGGCUAACUACGUGCCAGCAGCCGCGGUAAUACGUAGGGUGCGAGCGUUAAUCGGAAUUACUGGGCGUAAAGCGUGCGCAGGCGGUGCUGUAAGACAGGCGUGAAAUCCCCGGGCUCAACCUGGGAAUUGCGCUUGUGACUGCAGUGCUGGAGUGCGGAAGAGGGGGAUGGAAUUCCGCGUGUAGCAGUGAAAUGCGUAGAUAUGCGGAGGAACACCGAUGGCGAAGGCAAUCCCCUGGGCCUGCACUGACGCUCAUGCACGAAAGCGUGGGGAGCAAACAGGAUUAGAUACCCCGGUAGUCC
This 450-nucleotide ribosomal RNA is filed under the name uncultured bacterium. Its description in RNAcentral is "partial 16S ribosomal RNA". It matches the Rfam family "Bacterial small subunit ribosomal RNA", at positions 354 to 796 of the family's 1533-position model. The record is from RNAcentral.